RNAcentral lists this ribosomal RNA (468 nucleotides) under uncultured bacterium. RNAcentral's name for it is "partial 16S ribosomal RNA". It matches the Rfam family "Bacterial small subunit ribosomal RNA", at positions 28 to 507 of the family's 1533-position model. The record is from RNAcentral.
GACGAACGCUGGCGGCGUGCUUAACACAUGCAAGUCGAACGGAAAGGCCCUGCUUUUGUGGGGUGCUCGAGUGGCGAACGGGUGAGUAACACGUGAGUAACCUGCCCUUGACUUUGGGAUAACUUCAGGAAACUGGGGCUAAUACCGGAUAGGAGCUCCUGCUGCAUGGUGGGGGUUGGAAAGUUUCGGCGGUUGGGGAUGGACUCGCGGCUUAUCAGCUUGUUGGUGGGGUAGUGGCUUACCAAGGCUUUGACGGGUAGCCGGCCUGGGAGGGUGACCGGCCACAUUGGGACUGAGAUACGGCCCAGACUCCAACGGGAGGCAGCAGUGGGGAAUAUUGCACAAUGGGCGGAAGCCUGAUGCAGCAGCGCCGCGUGCGGGAUGACGGCCUUCGGGUUGUAAACCGCUUUCGCCUGUGACGAAGCGUGAGUGACGGUAAUGGGUAAAGAAGCACCGGCUAACUACGUG